Molecule: long non-coding RNA, 475 nt
Organism: Papaver somniferum (opium poppy)
Lineage: Eukaryota; Viridiplantae; Streptophyta; Magnoliopsida; Ranunculales; Papaveraceae
Exons: 2
Source: RefSeq, a predicted model, not a curated record
ACGAAAAUAAAAGUUAUACGCGUAAGUGCAACUCAUUUUGUUUCAGAGCAAUGGCGUCCUUAACUGGAAGACAAAGAAGUCGGCCAAUGAUAAAAAUCACCAUACUUCUCCUUACAGCUUCCAUCCUCCUAAUAGCCAUCAAUACAACUGCCCUAUACCAAUUAUCUUCACCACUAUCAAAUCCACCCCAUCCUUUCCGUCCAGCAGUUUCACCUCACCAGUUAAAUAGUACAGGAUAAGUUGGAUGGACGAAGAUGAUAUUGUGCCUCUUUUUUGUUAAGAGAUGCUAUACAACAUAUUUAUUCUCAUGUUCUGGUCGCUAAGUAAUUCAAAUAAAUCAUGAGAGCAUGGAAGUUAUGUGAUAUGAAUAAGGAGAAUAAGAUGAAGAAGAUUCUCCAAAAAAAAAUCUAAAGCUUUUUAUUUUAAAUCGUUAAUGUCUAGACAUAAAUGGAGCAAUAUAAAUUCCAAGUUUACA